This 638-nucleotide long non-coding RNA is filed under the name Hordeum vulgare. RNAcentral describes it as "long non-coding RNA (HVUL_LNC004676)". The record is from RNAcentral. Lineage: Eukaryota; Viridiplantae; Streptophyta; Magnoliopsida; Poales; Poaceae.
CUGAACUUUGGGCUUACACUUUAGUAUUGAUAAAGAAUUUCGAUUUUGAAAAUCACUACAAGCAAUCAAAAUACAUAUAGCAAACCAAAUCAUCCUACCCCUGCACCCAUUCUAUUCGUACAAAGUGAGUUAUGCGCCAAAACAGAGAGAGUUGAAAAUUAUAGAAUAACAGGAAUUGAUGUAUAUAAAGAAACCGUCCUAACACUGAAGUAGGUAAACCAACUAGGAGAAAUCGAUCAUCAUCUGGUCGUCAUCAGUGUAUCCUCUGUUGCGGUCCCGUUGAGCGUGUGGUCAUUAUCGCUCCCAAGUUCACCUUGCGGCCUUGCCCCAUGCGUCACCAUGGCUGAAUCCGAGCAGAAGACUUACCACUUGUGUGCCUUCUUUUCGAGCACUGUGGGGUGGCAACUGGCUAGGAUGGGAUUCAUGCGAAGUACUGCCGCAUUGGUGGAAGGGGGAGAGGGGCUAGAGGAGACUGCAGUUGGUCGACAUCGAGGACCGCCUUGUACACGGUGCCCUGCCCUCCUUCCCUGAUGAUGUUCGCCUUGUCGAACCCGUUUGUUGCCGCCUCGAUCUCUCCUCUGGCGUAGACAGUGAACCCAAUGAACAGCAACAGCAGGAUGGAAGUAAUCUACCGCGGC